RNAcentral lists this long non-coding RNA (241 nucleotides) under Elaeis guineensis (African oil palm). Its description in RNAcentral is "long non-coding RNA (EGUI_LNC009873)". Lineage: Eukaryota; Viridiplantae; Streptophyta; Magnoliopsida; Arecales; Arecaceae. The record is from RNAcentral.
GGUUCAUAAAGUCUUUAAUAGCCUUGGCUGAUAAUUCUUACAUCUCCUUAAUGGCAUCCUUAACAUCCACCUAAUUUAUUGCCUAUACAGCUAUCCAAAAUCAUUUUUUAAGUGCAUGGCCAGUGCUAGAUUUUCUCCAAGUGACAUAUAUGUGCCUCGCAUGGUUUUUGUGCUCUAUAUAUGGAAUCAAUUUUCUAACUGCAUUAAGAAGGCCCUGCGGCAAACAAGGUUGCAUGUUAAG